GACGAACGCUGGCGGCGUGCUUAACACAUGCAAGUCGAACGGAAAGGCCCUGCUUUUGUGGGGUGCUCGAGUGGCGAACGGGUGAGUAAUACGUGAUUAACCUGCCCUUGACUUUGGGAUAACUUCUGGAAACUGUGGCUAAUACCUGAUAGUACCUCCUUCUGCAUGUUGGGGUUUGGAAAUUUUCGGCGGUCGGGGAUGGACUCGCGGAUUUUAACCUUGUUGGUGGGUUAGUGGUUUCCCAAGGUUUUGACGGUUAGCCGGCCUGAGAGGGUGACCGGCCACAUUGGGACUGAGAUACAGACCAGACUAAUACGGGAGGCAGCAGUGAGGAAUAUAGAACAAUGGGCGGAAGACUGAUGCAGGAACGCAGCGUGCGGGAUGAAGGACUUCGGGUUGUAAACCGCUUUCGCCUGUGACGAAGCGUGAGUGACGGUAAUGGGUAAAGAAGCACCAGCUAACUACGUG
This 468-nucleotide ribosomal RNA is filed under the name uncultured bacterium. Its description in RNAcentral is "partial 16S ribosomal RNA". It matches the Rfam family "Bacterial small subunit ribosomal RNA", at positions 28 to 507 of the family's 1533-position model. The record is from RNAcentral.